AGGUGUGCUCUCAUUGGAGGCUAAUGGCAUGAGGAAGCUGGAGGAGGUACUGCAAGAGCUGGAGGUGAGGAUGGGGAAAUUACAUCGAUUUUCAGAGUACAGGGGACUCCAUGGUGUGCCGCCCCAGAUCCAUCUUCUCAUCCUUCCAGGACUUAAUCCUGCUCUGCUUCCCUCACUCCCUGGCUACUUCCUCCUGGGAGCACUUACUUCCUUAACAGGUCACUCAUACAUGAAUCUUCAUCUCAGAGUCUGCUUCUGGGGGCAGGACCAAAACCUAAGGAUGCAUUAUUGAGGUUGUCUCUGAAAGCAACAGGAUCAUUAUUCUGCCAGGACUUCACAAGAAGCUUACAGAAAAAAAAUGAAGAUGGCAUGCCUUCUUUCAUCCAGUCAACAAUUCAUAACAAGGCUUCAUACUUUGUCUUUCUAAGAGUAUAAAUAUUGAAGUAUUGAAAAUAAAAAUUGCAGUAUUCUGGGAAACAUGAAUCUUUUACAAAGCUCAUUUCCUCUGCAUUUUACAUUCUCAAUGAUGAGAUAGAGAAUGAGACAUUUCAUUCACCAAUGUCUUUGUGUCUGUUUUCAGCUCCAAGGUUUUGGUGAAAACAGUAAAAUUUGUGUGAUAAGAUAAAAGCAGUAUAUAAAAACUUAACAAUAUUUCAAUUUCCCAACCCUUUCUGUGUAUAUGAUAUUACACAAGGUGCCUCUCAGUGAAAGAGUAACAGGAAUAAUAAAUUUCCAUUUUACAAAUUUUAGCAAAGCCUUUUUUACAUACUUUUUAGAAAAUGAGAAAGUGAAUGACUAAAUUGACUAGAUAACAAAUCCACUUGCAAAUCAUAUGCUUUCCAAUUCCUUCUUUGUGAGUGAUUUGAAGAAGGACCCAAUUGAGUUAUCAACUGAUACAUCAUUAAAAACGCUUUCUGAUAACAUAACAACUAUUUGACUUUUAGUGUGUAACUUGUAAUGGAAUGAUUUUGCUAUAAUAAAACUAUUUCUAUUCAUUUACUUAUCUAGGUGAACAAUGUUUCUUAAUUCUUACCUCUAUAGACAUAAUACAAAUUUACUGUAACCUUUUGAGAACACCAGGUAUAUUAUUUUUAGUUCAUCUCAUGAAAGGCUCAUUCUGUGCACAAGUCUGGUACAUGCUCUGGAGAUUGCAGUGAAGAGCGCCCCUGCACUAUACGUUUUUUUGGUUGUUUUGUUUUUCUUUUUCUUACUGUUAGACAAGAAGGUACAACUUGGAUUGUAUUUCUACUACCUCUGGGCUGCAGCGAGACUUGGGACCUGUUCACUAAUUGCAAAAAGAAGUGGCAGAGAGUCCUUUUAUGACAUUCUUUCUCCACACAAAACAGCAUUAGCUCCAUCACUUUGAACUGAUUUGGCAAGAUGCUUUUAAUAGAAGGCCACAGUGUUUGCUAUAUAGUUAGGGAGCUCUAAGGCACCAAUGGAAAUUUAGUAAUAUGUAUAUUUCCUUGAUGGGUUUUGAGUAUCUGACACUCUUAGCAUCUUCAGUUAUACAUUUUCUAGGAAAGCAGUCUUUAAAUGACAUACUACCCAUAAUAAUCAGCCCUGCAUUAAUAGAUUUUAUUUAUUCAAAUUUGGAGUUGGGAUUUUCCAAGACUAACUGAACUUUAUUU
Molecule: long non-coding RNA, 1631 nt
Filed under: Equus caballus (horse)
Lineage: Eukaryota; Metazoa; Chordata; Mammalia; Perissodactyla; Equidae
Description: lncRNA (ENSECAG00000057616.1)
Source: RNAcentral